UUUUUUUUUUUCUUUUUUUAACAGCCAGCAAGCCUGGCUUUCUGGUCCUUCACAAAGACCUUCAACUUACCCACUGUCUCAAGAUCAUCAGCGGGAAAGGGUCCAGAUGCAGAAGGUAAAGGGUCACAGCUUAUCUGUAAAGAGUCAGCCCCCUCAUUUUUCCAAAACAUUAGCAUCACCAAGUAGUGGAAUUUUAGUACCAACUGAGAAGCCAGGGUUGAAGUAACUAAAAUCUAUUAAACAUAAAAAUAAACAACAUAUUUAACUGCUCCCUCUGGGCAGCAGGACUGAGGAUAGGGAGGGGAUGGGGCAGUGAUUUUUAAGUGAACACUUCUGUGUGGUUUGAUCAUUUUUAACCAGGUCUGAAAGGAAAGGAAAGAUGUCAAAUGGAUAAAAGAAAGUUGUUAGAUCAUUAUGACAAUGGACUGGAAUUAUAAUUACUCAAAGAAAGCUACUCUUGGGUCUGAAAGUGAUUCAAGGACUUAUUAUCUAAGAGUGGCUAAGUUAUAGGUUAUGCCUGAAAUUGUCAACGGGGAAAGCACAUUUCCCCUCUCUUGGCACCCCUUUGAUUUCAGCUCUCUCAAUACAACGGCAAUACAAUGCAUUCUCAAUACAAUGGCACUUAUAAAAAGAGCACUGAGAAAGAAUUACUUAGUAUUGAUCUCUGCUUGUUUAGCAGAACUAGGAUUUAGACAAGUCUGAAUCUAGGAAUAGCCUUGUUUCCUGAGAUAGAGUUAAGCAAGCUCUUUUAUUUCCAUAAAGUUUUUGGAGUUCCCAUUGUGGCUUAGUGGUAAUGAACCCAACCAGUAUCCAUGAGGACACAGGUUUGAUCCUUGGUCCCGCUCAGUGGGUUAAGGAUCCAGCAUUGCCCCAUGAGCUCAGAUUUGGCAUUGCUAUGGCUGUGGAGUAGCCCAGCAGCUGAAGCUCCAAUUCUCCUCCUAGCCUGGGAAUUUCCAUAUGCUGCAGGUGUGAACCUAAAAAGAAAAAAAAAAAAAAAAGGAAAGUAUUUAUUCACUUCUUGUAGUUCGAUUUUGAUAAUGCUGCAACACUACUCCAAACCUCUUCCUAUUUUGGAGGUGUGAGUCAGUUGUGAAAAAACCAUCCUGGUGGAUUUGCAAAGAAGGACCUGGCUUAAAGCUUAAAUCCAUCAUCCUGCCCAUAAAGAAGAUAUAAAAGGGUCAGAGUAAAGUUUGGAAGGGGUUGGAUGAUUUCUUUAGAGAGUCCUGCUAACCCUCCAACCAGAGAUGGUAGGUGUGAGAGGCCUACCUCUCUAACUUCAAGCUUAACAAGGGGCCUCCAAAAAAGCACCCUAAGAGCUUACAGUUCAGUUGUCCCAAUGGAUCGCUGACUUCCACCUGGGAAAUGUGGAGAACAGCAGAGUCUUCCUCACUAGCUGAUUCUUUUUCUUGCAGUCUUUCAGAGGUUCUUCCUGCAGUGCCUUUCCUCCAGCAAGCCCCCGAUUACAAACCCCCUGGCAACCUCCCCUCCUAACAGUUCAGCUCUAGGCUCUCUGCUGAGGUCUCCUCACCUCUGAGAAAGACCCUUAAGGAAAGUUCUUUUCCAAGAGCUAACCACCAUGCCAGCUCCCUACCGCAGACCCACUUGGCACAGAGGAAAUUCCUCUCAUUAUGUGAGAAAAACUGUUCUCUCAUUAUAACUACAAUUUGUUCAUAACCUUAUUCAACCCAGGGAAGGAAACUGCAUUUGUCCCACUUGCAAGGCUUUUAAUUAACAUCUUGGCCACCAGCCAUAAAUAACAAUUCAAAGACAGGAUAUCGGUACUUCCACUACAAAGAGACCAAAACACACACACACACACACACACACACUUUAGAUUUCUGGUUUGCAGUCGAGGCUGCAAAAUAUUCC
RNAcentral lists this long non-coding RNA (1869 nucleotides) under Sus scrofa (pig). RNAcentral describes it as "lncRNA (ENSSSCG00060005522.1)". The record is from RNAcentral. Lineage: Eukaryota; Metazoa; Chordata; Mammalia; Artiodactyla; Suidae.